Molecule: ribosomal RNA, 253 nt
Filed under: uncultured bacterium
Lineage: Bacteria
Description: partial 16S ribosomal RNA
Rfam family: Bacterial small subunit ribosomal RNA
Source: RNAcentral
UACGGAGGGUGCAAGCGUUAAUCGGAAUCACUGGGCGUAAAGCGUACGUAGGCGGCCUUGCAAGUCAAGUGUGAAAGCCCACGGCUCAACCGUGGAAUAGCACUCGAAACUGCUCGGCUUGAGUUCGGGAGAGGGUGGCGGAAUUCCAGGUGUAGGAGUGAAAUCCGUAGAUAUCUGGAGGAACACCAGUGGCGAAGGCGGCCACCUGGACCGAUACUGACGCUGAGGUACGAAAGCGUGGGGAGCAAACAGG